UUUACAAAAUUUUACAGAAGCUUUUCCUUGGUUCUCUCUGAUGCCUUCUUUUUCUUCUAUAUCCUUGUUUUCUCUUUAUCUCUCUUCUUCACCAAAUUCCUGGAAGAUGUUACAAGGCCGGCUUCCCUCAAUCUGUCAUGGUUUAUCGUUUGGCCUCUCCUCCUAACAGGCCAAUUUUCUAUUCUUUCUGCCCACCGAUCCCAGUACAAAGAAGCCCAGCAAGCACCUCUUCUGUAUCGUUCUUCGUCAACCUGUACGGCACGCAUCCGAGCGGAGCCACGUACUCCACCUGAUGGAUGGGACGGACGUCCUUGCCGCUGCCAGCUCUAUAAGUUUCCCCUGCUCCUUUCCUUUGAACCCUAGUCCCCAGCUGCAUCCUCCUUCCAGCGCCGCCGCUUCAUCUUCCUUUGCCUUCGUCCUACUCGCUUGCAUCGCUGCGGCCGCUUGUCCGUCGCUCGAACCCCGUUGUCCAUCCCCGACGGCACAACUCCGGCUUCUACCGAACCAAGACGUCUCCGUGGCGCUGCACCAGCAUGCCCCUGCUCCCGGCUGCGUCCGCUUCGUCUCCGUUCACGCACACGCACUUGCGUGCCCGUCGCCGGCCUUCUCCGGUCGCACCACGACGUCGGCCUCUACAUCAACACCGGCAGCCGCUCGUGAAGGCCAGCUCGCCAAGAUCUCCACCUGCUCGUUGUCGUCUACCCCGGCCACGCCUUCUCCUUCCUCGUCGCCGGCAGCAUCCUCCGUAUUCUCCACCUCGUCGAGCACCACCAGGCAUUUGCUUCUUCCCGGAUAGGAUCACGAAGUGGUGAUGUGAGUUACGACGAGUUCUCCGACAAGUUCUUCUGCAGCUUUUCACAGGCGAGCCCACCCCUUCACCUAUUUUACUUUUACAUGCUCUUUUGAUCUAUUGCUAUCCUUAUGUUGCGAUUCUGUUGUGUCACGUGUCCUAUCCACCUGUUACCUAUAUGUCCGAGAUACACCUCCUCGCCCUACCUAUUGUUUGUUGUUUGCCAGCUUUGCGAGUCGUAGGCGAGUUUAGGGUCUUGUUGAUAUCUCGAGAUGUUCGGGAUAUCUUGUUGGGAGGUUAUCACAUGCUAUAUCAUUUGUUGGAGAUAAUCACACUUUACUUUAUUGUUAACAACUAAAAUUGUAAGCAGAGGCAUCUGUGAGCCCCUUUGCGAAAGCAUCGGAACUUUGACUUGCUAAUGUCCCCUAGGACCCGAGUUCUUGUUAUCUGUUCCGAGAUUGAGCGCUCUACCCGUACGUGGGGGAAUGGGACCCCCAUCACCCACUACCUUUCCUCGAGUCUGUUUAUUGGGAGCCACAACCUUGGUUUUAUUUGCCCAUAUGCACGAUAUGCACGAUUUACUUCCUGUUGCCUUCGGGUGUUUAUUUCUGUACUGUACUCAUAACGCGGGACUCCUUAUCCUUGGCCGGUCGUUAGUGCCCGCCUUGGAAGCCGUCGCAAACCUCUGGGUCCGUAUCGAAGUACGGCCGAACUUCGUCACGGGUAGCUUAGUUGGGUGGCUCCCAUUAAACUUUCUCUUGCAUUGGGAACGGUCUUGAUGUGAGACUCCACCUGUAGUAAGUGGGUUCGAGCAUGCGUAUGGUUACAUUUGGGCAACCCCUGCAGGGUGUACAUCUUAUCGAUAAGCCGUGUCCGCGGUUAUGGACAACUUGGAAUUGUAUGGCUUGAUCAUAGAACAACUUACACCUUAUACUUGUUGUUAAUAAUCUGAUAAUAACUUGCGUAGUAAUAUAGCAUUACUACAACCGAUACCUAAUAAAACUUGUCCACCGUUGAGUGCCUUUUACAUUGCCUCUUCGCAAUUGUUGAAGGGGAUAUGUGUAAUCGGCUGGGUUAUGUUUGUGUAGUAUUUAUCUGUUACCUUGUGCACUCUCUUAUCUUCUCUGAGUAGACGGAUGUUGUAGCGUGUCUCUAUUGGAUAGUAGCUUUGCUGCCGCUAAACUCCACAUAUAGUCGGGUGAAGUUUAUACCGCCCACCAGCGAGCAUAGCUGGUCUUGUCUCGCAAGUACGUGCCAAUGGUACUUACCCUCGCCUUCCUUUCUUUUUGUCUCCUCCCCCUUUUGUCGGCAACCGAUGGCCCGACUUUGACAGGUACGAGAUGAUGACGUUAGCAAGGUUACCCUUCCGGCUUGGCCUGGGCAGGGUUAUGGACGCCACUGGUUAUCUUCAGGACUCUUAGUCCAAUUUGUAUCUUGUCCGUACUCGGAUGUAUUUGAUCUUAUGUAUGAUUUGGAUCUUUUUAUGUAUCUAUUUGUAUCUUGGCUCGUUGGAGUCGUUGUUGUAAUAUA
Lolium perenne is the source of this 2320-nucleotide non-coding RNA. Lineage: Eukaryota; Viridiplantae; Streptophyta; Magnoliopsida; Poales; Poaceae. The record is from RefSeq and is a predicted model, not a curated record.